UACGUAGGGACCGAGCGUUGUCCGGAUUCAUUGGGCGUAAAGAGCUCGUAGGCGGCCACUCAAGUCGAAUGUGAAACCUCGAGGCUUAACCUCGAGCCUGCAUUCGAUACUGGGUGGCUAGAGUCUGGUAGGGGGAUCUGGAAUUCCUGGUGUAGCGGUGGAAUGCGCAGAUAUCAGGAGGAACACCGGUGGCGAAGGCGGGAUCCUGGGCCAGUACUGACGCUGAGGAGCGAGAGCGUGGGGAGCAAACAGG
RNAcentral lists this ribosomal RNA (253 nucleotides) under uncultured bacterium. Its description in RNAcentral is "partial 16S ribosomal RNA". It matches the Rfam family "Bacterial small subunit ribosomal RNA", at positions 524 to 776 of the family's 1533-position model. The record is from RNAcentral.